RNAcentral lists this ribosomal RNA (435 nucleotides) under uncultured bacterium. RNAcentral's name for it is "partial 16S ribosomal RNA". It matches the Rfam family "Bacterial small subunit ribosomal RNA", at positions 29 to 507 of the family's 1533-position model. The record is from RNAcentral.
AGCGAACGCUGGCGGCAGGCUUAACACAUGCAAGUCGAGCGGGCACUUUCGGGUGUCAGCGGCGGACGGGUGAGUAACGCGUGGGAACGUGCCCUCUGGUUCGGAAUAACUCAGGGAAACUUGAGCUAAUACCGGAUACGCCCUUUUGGGGAAAGGCUUGCUGCCGGAGGAUCGGCCCGCGUCUGAUUAGCUAGUUUGUGAGGUAACGGCUCACCAAGGCGACGAUCAGUAGCUGGUCUGAGAGGAUGAUCAGCCACACUGGGACUGAGACACGGCCCAGACUCCUACGGGAGGCAGCAGUGGGGAAUAUUGGACAAUGGGCGCAAGCCUGAUCCAGCCAUGCCGCGUGAGUGAUGAAGGCCUUAGGGUUGUAAAGCUCUUUUAUCCGGGACGAUAAUGACGGUACCGGAGGAAUAAGCCCCGGCUAACUUCGUG